CCUACGGGGCGCAGCAGUGGGGAAUAUUGCACAAUGGGCGAAAGCCUGAUGCAGCAACGCCGCGUGAGCGAUGAAGGCCUUCGGGUCGUAAAGCUCCGUUCUUAAGGAAGAUAAUGACGGUACUUGAGGAGGAAUCCCCGGCUAACUAAGUGCCAGCAGCCGCGGUAAUACGUAGGGGGCUAUCGGUAUACGGAAUUACUGGGCGUAAAGGGUGCGUAGGUGGUUUCUUAAGUCAGUGGUGAAAGGCUACGGCUAAACCGUAGUAAGGCGUUGAAACCGGGGAACUGGAGUGCAGGAGAGGAGAGUGGAAGUCGUGGUGUAGCGGUGAAAUGCGUAGAUAUUAGGAGGAACACCAGUUGCGAAGGCAGCUCUCUGGACUGUAACUGACACUGAGGCACGAAAGCGUGGGGAGCAAACAGGAUUAGAUACCCUUGUAGUC
This 439-nucleotide ribosomal RNA is filed under the name uncultured bacterium. Its description in RNAcentral is "partial 16S ribosomal RNA". It matches the Rfam family "Bacterial small subunit ribosomal RNA", at positions 338 to 795 of the family's 1533-position model. The record is from RNAcentral.